Molecule: transfer RNA, 69 nt
Filed under: Antechinomys laniger
Lineage: Eukaryota; Metazoa; Chordata; Mammalia; Dasyuromorphia; Dasyuridae
Description: tRNA-His
Rfam family: tRNA
About the family: Transfer RNA (tRNA) molecules are approximately 80 nucleotides in length.
Source: RNAcentral
GCAAAUAUAGUUUAACAAAAACAUUAGAUUGUGAAUCUAAUAAUAGGAGUUUAAACCUCCUUAUGUGCC